GCUCCCAUCGUCUAGAGGCCAAGGACCCCAGGUUUUCAGUCUGGUAACCCCGGUUCAAAUCCGGGUGGGAGUACCA
RNAcentral lists this transfer RNA (76 nucleotides) under Erwinia phage pEa_SNUABM_43. RNAcentral describes it as "tRNA-Glu". It matches the Rfam family "tRNA". Rfam says of the family: Transfer RNA (tRNA) molecules are approximately 80 nucleotides in length. Their secondary structure includes four short double-helical elements and three loops (D, anti-codon, and T loops). The record is from RNAcentral. RNAcentral also lists the same sequence under 1 other name. Lineage: Duplodnaviria; Heunggongvirae; Uroviricota; Caudoviricetes; Chimalliviridae.